Molecule: long non-coding RNA, 2875 nt
Organism: Gadus morhua (Atlantic cod)
Lineage: Eukaryota; Metazoa; Chordata; Actinopteri; Gadiformes; Gadidae
Exons: 2
Source: RefSeq, a predicted model, not a curated record
UGGUCCGGGUAGAGAGCUGGGGGGUUGUCUCUCUGAAGGUGAUGUGGUACCUGGUCCGGGAUAGAGAGCUGGGGGGUUGUCUCUCUGAAGGUGAUGUGGUACCUGGUCCGGGUAGAGAGCUGGGGGGUUGUCUCUCUGAAGGUGAUGUGGUACCUGGUCCGGGUAGAGAGCUGGGGGGUUGUCUCUCUGAAGGUAUGUGGUACCUGGUCUGGGUAGAGAGCUGGGGGGUUGUCUCUCUGAAGGUGAUGUGGUACCUGGUACACAAGUCACUGGACCUGCUCAGCUCCCAAUCUUUCCCUUUUGGACAAUCACGGUUUCAAAAGCUCUUUUGGUUUGAAAAAGACCUUCAAAAAGGCAAACACACCCUCCUACGCACAGACAUUUGUUUUUGUUUCAUGCUUCCAGAGACUGUGUUGAUAAUUACAAAGGACUUCCAUUUAAUGAUUACAAUGUCAUUUGUGUUUUUUUAAGUAGUUACUUUUUUAGGUGAAUAUGUUUUUCUAAUUCAAGCCUUUCUUUGCUGGUGAGGUACACGUUGAAGUACAUCAAAACAGUGAUCACUAGCUACAGUGAUGUACAUUCUGUCUGCUUUAGUCUUGUUUUUAUUGGGGUUGGAUUGUGUGGAAACCAUUAACUGAUUGUUGAAUCUUUUUUUACCAUAUCAGCCUCAUAGAUAACACCGCUCUGUGCCACACACGCACACACACACACACACACACAGACCUGCAUAUGUGUAUGUACACACACACACACACACACACGUAUCUCUAACUACAUACAUGCAGUUUGUGUGCAUGCUCAGCUGUAGAGACACAAAAGCUCCAUUCAUGAGACGCUUUGAAUAAUCCAACGCUUGAAACCACUGGCGCCGCCCACAUACACAAGACCCCAGAGGACACGCCCCUCACACACUAGUAUGACAUCACAGGACACGCCCCUCACACACUAGUAUGACAUCACAGGACACGCCCCUCACACACUAAUAUGACAUCACAGGACAUGCCCCUGAGACACUAGUAUGACAUCAAAGACACGCCCCUCACACACUAAUAUGACAUCACAGGACACGCCCCUGAGACACUAGUAUGACAUCACAGGACACGCCCCUGACACACUAGUAUGACAUCACAGGACACGCUUUCUCACACACUAGUAUGCAAGCGGAGUACAGUACCAUGUACAGCUGGACCAUAUACAGAGUGGACCAUGUACAGAGUGGACCAUGUAGAGAGGACCAUGUACCGCGUUCCCAUGGGGGGUGCAUUCAUGUUUACGCUCUGUGUUGCUCUCAGGAGAAACGCUGCCUCCACGUGUCACAUGUCAUACUUCUGUCACAACAUAUCAUGCUACUUGCCUCUCACGUAUGCUAUGACGCCAUCCCUCUCUUAAACACUGUACCUUCUCCCCCCAUGCCAAAGCGAGUCAUUUGAAGAGAGUCUAUAGACACAUUUCGACAUGGCGAACGCACACAGCUACACAGGUGAGCAGGUGGAGGCUUCCAUUUUGCCGAUGCAAAUAUGUUGAAAGAAAGAUAAUCAACUAAAUGUGAAAAAGGCUGGAUUUACUCAGGAAACAAAAGGAAUCUCAUCUCAUUCCCCUGUGAUCCAAACUGGACCGGUUGUUGCUAUGACACAUGAAACGAGACGACACAACUUUUGGCUUUGUCUUCUUUCAUUUCAGCAUGAACGCGUUGUUCGAACCUCCCGCCAUUGAGGAGGUAGCGGCCACCAGGUGGCAGCAAAGUCUCCUCAUCAAUAAAGAAACUGCAGCAUUAAGAGAACAUUUCAGUUGUAGCAAGAAUACACUUUCUUCCUCCUUCCCCCAACUAAAUGUGUGUUAUCAAAGCAAUAUGGCCACCGAUAUAUCCCACCUCUGCACUGUUGGAGCUUAGUGCUAGGCACUUACUUUGUAUUGCGUUAAAAAGCUAAUGUCAAGAAAAGAAUCUCGCCAGUUUGUCGUAUGAGUUUUGAAUGUUUCAAGACUCCAUGUUCUGUUAUGGCUUUACAUAAUCUCUAGAGCGUUAACGAUGAUAAGCGAUAAACCUUGAUUAAAUGUAGCUUUUGUUAUAUUUCUUUUUCGAAAGGCGGCUAUAAAAUGACAAUGAACUAUAUCAAUAAAAUGUGUAAAAAUAUGAUAUCUUGAAAACAGUGUUUCCUUAUAGUCCAAAGGAUUUGUCCGUCAUUACAACGCAUCGAGAACAAAGCAAGUGUUUCAUGUCUGUCAACAUGACACCACCAACAUCACAGGAAUAUUUUUCUAUUAUGGCACAAGAUUGUGGUUCACUGUAAAAAUACGUUGUGUUCAUCAGUUCAGUUCUCCGCUGCAUUUAGAUUCUUUCAUGGGCUGACUCCCCUCGGAUCACGACUACAGCUCAGCUGUGAAGAUCUGCGCUCAGUUCGGGUUCACUGGAUGAAAGGACUCCUGGUUCUCGUGCUUGUGCUGAAGAACAAGCUAAAUGCAGCUGGAUGGCUUCAGAACCAUGAAUACAUGAAUUGUCCAAACAAUGUAGUUGCUAUGUGUAGAUGUAGAACAAUGGGCGAGGAAGGCUCCCCUGACGACCACAUGUGUUCACAACAUCCUCCAGAGACCAGGAUGGGUUAGGGUCAGGGUCAGGGCUAUGGUAAACCCUAACCCUGACCCUAACCCAUCAGGAGACCGGGAGGUUGAACUGGACCGGGUCCAUGAGGCUCACUGUGUCACCAGGGGGGUGACCCCAUGAGGCCUCAUGCUGUCACCAGGGUGGUGACUAUGAGGCUUCAUGCUUUCACCAGGGGUCAUGGCUGUAAUCCCAAUGAUGGCUGUCAGGUUGAAUGAUGAUGGCUCAGAUGAUUGUCAUGUCCAUGACAUUAGUCAAUAAAUAAAAAAUGCAUUGAUA